AUUGAACGCUGGCGGCAUGCCUUACACAUGCAAGUCGAACGGUAACGGGCCUUCGGGUGCCGACGAGUGGCGAACGGGUGAGUAAUACAUCGGAACGUGCCCGAUCGUGGGGGAUAACGAGGCGAAAGCUUUGCUAAUACCGCAUACGAUCUACGGAUGAAAGCGGGGGACCGCAAGGCCUUGCGCGGACGGAGCGGCCGAUGGCAGAUUAGGUAGUUGGUGGGAUAAAAGCUUACCAAGCCGACGAUCUGUAGCUGGUCUGAGAGGAUGAUCAGCCACACUGGGACUGAGACACGGCCCAGACUCCUACGGGAGGCAGCAGUGGGGAAUUUUGGACAAUGGGCGCAAGCCUGAUCCAGCCAUGCCGCGUGCAGGAUGAAGGCCUUCGGGUUGUAAACUGCUUUUGUACGGAACGAAAAGCCUUCUUUUAAUACAGGAGGGUCAUGACGGUACCGUAAGAAUAAGCACCAGCUAACUACGUG
RNAcentral lists this ribosomal RNA (482 nucleotides) under uncultured bacterium. RNAcentral's name for it is "partial 16S ribosomal RNA". It matches the Rfam family "Bacterial small subunit ribosomal RNA", at positions 30 to 507 of the family's 1533-position model. The record is from RNAcentral.